This 30-nucleotide non-coding RNA is filed under the name Mus musculus (house mouse). The record is from RNAcentral. Lineage: Eukaryota; Metazoa; Chordata; Mammalia; Rodentia; Muridae.
UACAAGGUGUACAGUGUAUUCUCUCUGUGA